AUUGAACGCUGGCGGCAUGCUUUACACAUGCAAGUCGAACGGCAGCGCGGGCUUCGGCCUGGCGGCGAGUGGCGAACGGGUGAGUAAUGCAUCGGAACGUGCCCAGUAGUGGGGGAUAGCCCGGCGAAAGCCGGAUUAAUACCGCAUACGACCUGAGGGUGAAAGCGGGGGACCGAAAGGCCUCGCGCUAUUGGAGCGCCCGAUGUCGGAUUAGCUAGUUGGUGGGGUAAAGGCUUACCAAGGCGACGAUCCGUAGCUGGUCUGAGAGGACGACCAGCCACACUGGGACUGAGACACGGCCCAGACUCCUACGGGAGGCAGCAGUGGGGAAUUUUGGACAAUGGGGGCAACCCUGAUCCAGCCAUGCCGCGUGCGGGAAGAAGGCCUUCGGGUUGUAAACCGCUUUUGUUCGGGAAGAAAUCCUCUGGGCUAAUACCCCGGGGGGAUGACGGUACCGGAAGAAUAAGCACCGGCUAACUACGUG
This 484-nucleotide ribosomal RNA is filed under the name uncultured bacterium. Its description in RNAcentral is "partial 16S ribosomal RNA". It matches the Rfam family "Bacterial small subunit ribosomal RNA", at positions 28 to 507 of the family's 1533-position model. The record is from RNAcentral.